RNAcentral lists this transfer RNA (72 nucleotides) under Sphaerodactylus townsendi. RNAcentral describes it as "tRNA-Ala". It matches the Rfam family "tRNA". From Rfam's summary of the family: Transfer RNA (tRNA) molecules are approximately 80 nucleotides in length. Their secondary structure includes four short double-helical elements and three loops (D, anti-codon, and T loops). Lineage: Eukaryota; Metazoa; Chordata; Lepidosauria; Squamata; Sphaerodactylidae. The record is from RNAcentral.
GGGGCUGUGGCUCAGUGGUAGAGUAUCAGCAUGGCAUGCAGAAGGUCCCAUGUUCAAUCCCCAGCAUCUCCA